This 319-nucleotide long non-coding RNA is filed under the name Erythranthe guttata (spotted monkey flower). RNAcentral describes it as "long non-coding RNA (EGUT_LNC002103)". The record is from RNAcentral. Lineage: Eukaryota; Viridiplantae; Streptophyta; Magnoliopsida; Lamiales; Phrymaceae.
AAGAAAGUUCGCAUUUGGCUACAACUAAUUUCGUUGUGGAAAGUAUAUAAUUUCGUUGCUAAUUCCAUUCGCAACGAAAAUAAGUCGUUGCUAGCUUCGUUGUCUUUUAUUUGUUACGGAAAGUUCGGGGCAACGAAUUAAAAGUUGUUGCCAAUACAUUUAGUUUGCGCAACGAAUUCAUGUCGUUGGCAAAUAUUUUUCGUUGCCUAUACAUUUAGAAUGCACAAUGAAUAUAUUUUGUUGGCAAUUAUAUAUCGUUGCCAAUGUAUUAUGUAUACACAACGAAUUUAUUUUCGUCGCCAAUAGUAUACACAACGAA